GUCCCUAUGGUCAAGCGGUUAAGACACCACCCUUUCACGGUGGAAACUCGGGUUCGAGUCCCGAUAGGGAUACCA
This 75-nucleotide transfer RNA is filed under the name Bacillota bacterium. Its description in RNAcentral is "Firmicutes bacterium (gut metagenome) tRNA-Glu". It matches the Rfam family "tRNA". From Rfam's summary of the family: Transfer RNA (tRNA) molecules are approximately 80 nucleotides in length. Their secondary structure includes four short double-helical elements and three loops (D, anti-codon, and T loops). Further hydrogen bonds mediate the characteristic L-shaped molecular structure. tRNAs have two regions of fundamental functional importance: the anti-codon, which is responsible for specific mRNA codon recognition, and the 3' end, to which the tRNAs corresponding amino acid is attached (by aminoacyl-tRNA synthetases). tRNAs cope with the degeneracy of the genetic code in two manners: having more than one tRNA (with a specific anti-codon) for a particular amino acid; and 'wobble' base-pairing, i.e. permitting non-standard base-pairing at the 3rd anti-codon position. The record is from RNAcentral. RNAcentral also lists the same sequence under 1 other name. Lineage: Bacteria; Bacillati; Bacillota.